This 493-nucleotide long non-coding RNA is filed under the name Sinocyclocheilus anshuiensis. RNAcentral describes it as "lncRNA (ENSSANG00000021447.1)". The record is from RNAcentral. Lineage: Eukaryota; Metazoa; Chordata; Actinopteri; Cypriniformes; Cyprinidae.
UAUUUCUCCUCAGGACAUUCAGACAGAUGUUGAUACCCAGACUGAUCUUUCUAAAAGGGCACUGGGGGGUCAGAUCCCGAAUACCAUGGCACAAGAGCUUGAUAAGUUUGGAGAUCUGGACCACAUUCAUAUAGCCUCGAGAAGAGAGUGUUUCGAGGCCGGUGCGGAGAAAUGGACAGGACUCAUAGCCAUCCUUGAAGAGCUUUGGUUCUGGGUAAAGCUGAAAGAUGAGGAGCUGACAAGGCAGAGGCCGGUGGGAGAAGAUGUACAUACUUUACUGCAGAAACAAGGCUACUGUACGGCCUUGCACAGUGAGUUGACUGGACGGAGACAGGAUAUGAAUCAGACAUGUCUGUCUCUGGCUGUUCAACCUACAACAAUGGAAGUCCAGAGCAAUAUAGAGACGGCUUCAGGUGAGAGACGUGAUCAGGUGUCAGUUUGCGACCUCCCAGAGGAAUACUUUAUUAUAGAGGUUUCUCUUUCAUAGUACAGG